GGAAGUGGGAAGUGGCCGCUCCUCAGCUCCUGGGCAACUUCGGCGGUUCGGUUCGCGCGGCUCUGACUACUCGGAUCCUCAGGGCAGAACGCGAGGCGGCCAAUUCGCUGCUCCGUGGGCUUGACUGCGCUCUGAGGAGGCUGGUGCCUUGGGCGGUGGCUUCAGCAACACAUCAGCCCUGAGCUUCACCGUCUCAUCUUCUCCCUACACCUCCUCCACCAUCUCCAGAAGGUUUCCUGCUUCACACCCUCUUCCUCUAAGGGAAACCCUAUGAUUGGACAAGGACUAAUAAAGUCAUUUUACCUGA
Molecule: long non-coding RNA, 307 nt
Organism: Manis pentadactyla (Chinese pangolin)
Lineage: Eukaryota; Metazoa; Chordata; Mammalia; Pholidota; Manidae
Exons: 3
Source: RefSeq, a predicted model, not a curated record